AUGAAUGUAGGGGUAUAUUUGUGUUGUAUGUAUUUGUCCAUGAAUGCAUGGGUAUAUAAAUAUUUGUGAGGUAUGUAUUUGUCCAUGAAUGCAGGAGUACAUUUUUGUGAUGUGCCUGUAUGCUUGAAUUAACUGGUAUAUAUGUGUGUGAUGUGUUUGUGUGCAUCAAUGAGUAUUAUUUUUUUGUGUUGUGUCUUUAUGCAUGAAGGCAGGAGUAUAGUGUAUUUGUGUAG
Non-coding RNA from Pelobates cultripes (western spadefoot toad), 233 nucleotides. The record is from the annotation of a GenBank genome assembly. NCBI's taxonomy places the organism in Eukaryota, Metazoa, Chordata, Amphibia, Anura, Pelobatidae.